UAGGGAAUCUUCCGCAAUGGGCGAAAGCCUGACGGAGCAACGCCGCGUGAGUGAUGAAGGUCUUCGGAUCGUAAAACUCUGUUAUUAGGGAAGAACAAAUGUGUAAGUAACUAUGCACGUCUUGACGGUACCUAAUCAGAAAGCCACGGCUAACUACGUGCCAGCAGCCGCGGUAAUACGUAGGUGGCAAGCGUUAUCCGGAAUUAUUGGGCGUAAAGCGCGCGUAGGCGGUUUUUUAAGUCUGAUGUGAAAGCCCACGGCUCAACCGUGGAGGGUCAUUGGAAACUGGAAGACUUGAGUGCAGAAGAGGAAAGUGGAAUUCCAUGUGUAGCGGUGAAAUGCGCAGAGAUAUGGAGGAACGCCAGUGGCGAAGGCGACUUUCUGGUCUGUAACUGACGCUAAUGUGCGAAAACGUGGGGAUCAAACAGG
RNAcentral lists this ribosomal RNA (429 nucleotides) under Actinomycetes bacterium. RNAcentral's name for it is "Actinobacteria bacterium partial 16S ribosomal RNA". It matches the Rfam family "Bacterial small subunit ribosomal RNA", at positions 355 to 776 of the family's 1533-position model. The record is from RNAcentral. Lineage: Bacteria; Bacillati; Actinomycetota; Actinomycetes.